Molecule: ribosomal RNA, 217 nt
Filed under: Providencia huaxiensis
Lineage: Bacteria; Pseudomonadati; Pseudomonadota; Gammaproteobacteria; Enterobacterales; Morganellaceae
Description: partial 16S ribosomal RNA
Rfam family: Bacterial small subunit ribosomal RNA
Source: RNAcentral
UAAUUGAAGAGUUUGAUCAUGGCUCAGAUUGAACGCUGGCGGCAGGCCUAACACAUGCAAGUCGAGCGGUAACAGGGGAAGCUUGCUUCUCGCUGACGAGCGGCGGACGGGUGAGUAAUGUAUGGGGAUCUGCCCGAUAGAGGGGGAUAACUACUGGAAACGGUAGCUAAUACCGCAUAAUCUCUUAGGAGCAAAGCAGGGGAACUUCGGUCCUUGC